Molecule: long non-coding RNA, 159 nt
Organism: Thalassophryne amazonica
Lineage: Eukaryota; Metazoa; Chordata; Actinopteri; Batrachoidiformes; Batrachoididae
Exons: 3
Source: RefSeq, a predicted model, not a curated record
GUCCAGUUCCACAACACAUGGGGCUUCCAACACAAGUAGGGCCUCCAGUCAUUGGUGCAACAGGCAGGGAAUCCUGAGGUCAGCCUGGCACCCUGGGGUGCCAGGCCAGCAUCUAUUGAAGGUCUCAGCAGUGCCAUCAGUGGUCCUCUUAUUGCAGCU